AAUCAAGGCUCAUGCACAGGUUUGCUCAGCAUUUUGAUAAAACAUUAGCAAAGCACCAAAGAAUGAUCAUAAGCACAGCCAAGUCCCAGAACAUAUUGAGAGGAAGCGACGUACCUUUUCAGAUGCAAGCACGUGGCUCUAGCCAAAUGAACCAUAUGGCUGAAAAAAUUGCACAUUGUCUGUUUUUUUGCUUCCUUAUUGCCAAAGUCUUUAUGAAAUGUAACUAGCAGAGAAACUCAUCUAGAGUAAGAUACCCUCACCUAAGUCUAACCAAAAUUCCCCAAAUUACGUGUUCCAUAAGAAAGCACAGCUAUUAAACGUCCAAUAUAUUAUGAACUGGCU
Molecule: long non-coding RNA, 342 nt
Filed under: Glycine max (soybean)
Lineage: Eukaryota; Viridiplantae; Streptophyta; Magnoliopsida; Fabales; Fabaceae
Description: long non-coding RNA (GMAX_LNC004041)
Source: RNAcentral